CCCUUAGAUGUUCUGGGCCGCACGCGUGCUACACUGACCGGCGCAACAAGCUUUUUUCCUUGGCUCGACAGGCCUGGGUAAUCUUCGAACGCCGGUCGUGAUGGGGAUAGAUCCUUGCAAUUUUUGAUCUUCAACGAGGAAUUCCUAGUAAAUGCGAGUCAUCAUCUCGCGUUGAUUACGUCCCUGCCCUUUGUACACACCGCCCGUCGCACCUACCGAUUGAAUGGUCCGGUGAAGCCUCCGGAUUACACAGGCCCCGUGUCUGGCGCGAGAAGUUGGCUAAACCUUACCAUUUAGAGGAAGGUGAAGUCGUAACA
This 317-nucleotide ribosomal RNA is filed under the name uncultured eukaryote. Its description in RNAcentral is "partial 18S ribosomal RNA". It matches the Rfam family "Eukaryotic small subunit ribosomal RNA", at positions 1470 to 1796 of the family's 1831-position model. The record is from RNAcentral.